Molecule: long non-coding RNA, 766 nt
Organism: Mastomys coucha (southern multimammate mouse)
Lineage: Eukaryota; Metazoa; Chordata; Mammalia; Rodentia; Muridae
Exons: 3
Source: RefSeq, a predicted model, not a curated record
AAGACAACAUGUGCUUUAACUCGGCAGUUCAGGAAACCGAGUUAAAGGCACAAAUUACCAACAUCAUCAUAAAACAAAACAAAAAACGAUGUAAACAUCUAGAGUUUAAGGUCACCGUAUCAUUUGGAUAUAGCGUUCGAUUCGUGGACACUGAGGGGCAGGAAGGUAUAAGCUUUUGAGUCCGUGGAGAUGAGCAAGUCACAGUCCUCUGGACCAUCACAAUGUGGGGACAAACAGGUGUAUUGGUCAGAAGAGGAAACGAAUGCGCAGCUGAAGCAGCCUAACACUGCCCGGGGAAGCUCAGAGAUGACCGUAGUGUCACUGCACUAGAUGCUAACGGUCUCCAGACAUUGAUCUCUGGAGAAGCCUCUUUUCUGAGGUUCAGCACAAGAUCUUCAACCAACAGGAGCUGACAGCUGCACAUAGCAGUCCAGAAGGCAGCCUGCAUGUGCAAACCACCAGCAGACCCAAGAAUGCUAUUCCUCAACACCUCCAUGUUCCCCGCCCACUGUGCGUCCACCUCAGCUACCCCAAUCAGCUGCUCAAAUAGAAAAUGAAAGCAUCUCAGGCCUCAUCUUUCACACACUGAUCUUCCCUACACCGCGUGUACAUUCCCAUGACAACAUCUGGGACUUGGUGUUUGCCUUAGCUAUGUCUUGUGCUCUCCCUUCCUAAGCCACCUUCAUUUUCACUAGAAUCACCUUACCCGUCCUUAUUUCUACCCUAAACACUCCCAGUGGGAGAUUAAAACCAAACAUAAAGGAAA